RNAcentral lists this transfer RNA (74 nucleotides) under Leptolyngbya valderiana BDU 20041. RNAcentral describes it as "tRNA-Pro". It matches the Rfam family "tRNA". From Rfam's summary of the family: Transfer RNA (tRNA) molecules are approximately 80 nucleotides in length. Their secondary structure includes four short double-helical elements and three loops (D, anti-codon, and T loops). Further hydrogen bonds mediate the characteristic L-shaped molecular structure. tRNAs have two regions of fundamental functional importance: the anti-codon, which is responsible for specific mRNA codon recognition, and the 3' end, to which the tRNAs corresponding amino acid is attached (by aminoacyl-tRNA synthetases). tRNAs cope with the degeneracy of the genetic code in two manners: having more than one tRNA (with a specific anti-codon) for a particular amino acid; and 'wobble' base-pairing, i.e. permitting non-standard base-pairing at the 3rd anti-codon position. Lineage: Bacteria; Bacillati; Cyanobacteriota; Cyanophyceae; Leptolyngbyales; Leptolyngbyaceae. The record is from RNAcentral. RNAcentral also lists the same sequence under 2 other names.
CAGGGUGUAGCUCAGCUUGGUAGAGCACCUGCUUUGGGAGCAGGAAGUCGCAGGUUCAAAUCCUGUCACCCUGA